Molecule: ribosomal RNA, 1136 nt
Filed under: uncultured bacterium
Lineage: Bacteria
Description: bacterial SSU rRNA
Rfam family: Bacterial small subunit ribosomal RNA
Source: RNAcentral
AGUCGAGAAUCAUUCGCAAUGGGCGAAAGCCUGACGAUGCGACGCCGUGUGAGCGAAGAAGGCCUUAGGGUCGUAAAGCUCUUUCGCCUGGGAACAAGAGAAGUCGGCUAAUAUCCGGCGGAUUUGAGGGUACUAGGUAAAGAAGCACCGGCUAACUCCGUGCCAGCAGCUGCGGUAAUACGGAGGGUGCAAGCAUUAAUCGGAUUUAUUGGGCGUAAAGGGCGCGUAGGCGGGGAUAAUAGUCAGAUGUGAAAUCCUGGGGCUCAACCUCAGAACUGCAUUUGAAACUGUAUCUCUCGAGGGUAGGCGGAGAAAACGGAAUUCCACAAGUAGCGGUGAAAUGCGUAGAUAUGUGGAAGAACACCGGUGGCGAAGGCGGUUUUCUAGCUUAUUCCUGACGCUGAGGCGCGAAAGCAAGGGGAUCAAACAGGAUUAGAUACCCUGGUAGUCCUUGCUGUAAACGAUGUAUACUUGGUGUAGCCGGACUCAACCCUGGCUGUGCCGGAGCUAACGCGUUAAGUAUACCGCCUGGGGAGUACAGUCGCAAGGCUGAAACUCAAAAGAAUUGACGGGGACCCGCACAAGCAGUGGAGCAUGUGGUUUAAUUCGAUGCUACGCGAAGAACCUUACCCAGGCUUGACAUGCAGCGGACCGGUCCAGAAAUGGGCCUUUCCUUCGGGACUGCUGCACAGGUGCUGCAUGGCUGUCGUCAGCUCGUGCCGUGAGGUGUUGGGUUAAGUCCCGCAACGAGCGCAACCCUUAUCAUUAGUUGCCAACAUUUAAGGUGGGAACUCUAAUGAGACUGCCCGGGUUAACCGGGAGGAAGGUGAGGAUGACGUCAAGUCCGCAUGGCCCUUAUGCCUGGGGCUACACACGUGCUACAAUGGUCGGUACAGAAGGCAGCAAGACCGUAAGGUGGAGCAAAUCCCGAAAGCCGGCCUCAGUUCAGAUUGUAGUCUGCAACUCGACUACAUGAAGACGGAAUUGCUAGUAAUGGCGAGUCAGCAACAUCGCCGUGAAUACGUUCCCGGGUCUUGUACACACCGCCCGUCACAUCAUGGGAGUUGGUUUUACCCGAAUCCGCUGGCUUAACCGCAAGGGGAGAGGCGUGUAAGGUAAGGCUGAUGACUGGGAUG